This 253-nucleotide ribosomal RNA is filed under the name uncultured bacterium. RNAcentral describes it as "partial 16S ribosomal RNA". It matches the Rfam family "Bacterial small subunit ribosomal RNA", at positions 524 to 776 of the family's 1533-position model. The record is from RNAcentral.
GACAGAGGGUGCAAACGUUGUUCGGAAUUACUGGGCGUAAAGCGCGUGUAGGCGGCAGAGCAUGUCGGAUGUGAAAUCCCGUGGCUCAACCACGGAAGUGCACCCGAAACUGCUCAGCUAGAGUCUCGGAGAGGAAGAUGGAAUGCUUGGUGUAGAGGUGAAAUUCGUAGAUAUCAAGCGGAACACCGGUGGCGAAGGCGGUCUUCUGGACGAUGACUGACGCUGAGACGCGAAAGCGUGGGGAGCAAACAGG